Molecule: ribosomal RNA, 204 nt
Filed under: uncultured bacterium
Lineage: Bacteria
Description: partial 16S ribosomal RNA
Rfam family: Bacterial small subunit ribosomal RNA
Source: RNAcentral
UUGUAGUCUGCAACCCGACUACAUGAAGCUGGAAUCGCUAGUAAUCGCGAAUCAGAAUGUCGCGGUGAAUACGUUCCCGGGUCUUGUACACACCGCCCGUCACACCAUGGGAGUUGGAAAUGCCCGAAGUCAGUGGCCCAACCGGGAAGGGGGGAGCUGCCGAAGGCAGGUUCGAUGACUGGGGUGAAGUCGUAACAAGGUAAC